GUUGGUUCAUAGACCAUUGAUUAAAAAGGGAACCGGGUGUGAAUCCCGGACAGUCCCGCUGCUGUGUUAGGCUUUAUCAACAAGCAAAAUGUCACUGGAUUUUCUUCGGGAAGACGCUUGUUGAUGCCUUUAGUCAGAAGACCUGCCACUGCGUU
This 155-nucleotide non-coding RNA is filed under the name uncultured Prevotella sp. Lineage: Bacteria; Pseudomonadati; Bacteroidota; Bacteroidia; Bacteroidales; Prevotellaceae. The record is from RNAcentral.